Molecule: ribosomal RNA, 301 nt
Filed under: uncultured bacterium
Lineage: Bacteria
Description: partial 16S ribosomal RNA
Rfam family: Bacterial small subunit ribosomal RNA
Source: RNAcentral
CAGUAGCCACGGUAAUACGUAGGGUGCAAGCGUUAAUAGGAAUUACUGGGCGUAAAGCGUGCGCAGGCGGUUUUGUAAGACAGAGGUGAAAUCCCCGGGCUCAACCUGGGAAAUGCCUUUGUGACUGCAAGGCUAGAGUACGGCAGAGGGGGAUGGAAUUCCGCGUGUAGCAGUGAAAUGCGUAGAUAUGCGGAGGAACACCGAUGGCGAAGGCAAUCCCCUGGGCCUGUACUGACGCUCAUGCACGAAAGCGUGGGGAGCAAACAGGAUUAGAUACCCCAGUAGUCCCUGUCUCUUAUAC